CAAGCGGUGGAGCAUGUGGUUUAAUUCGACGCAACGCGAAGAGCCUUACCUAGCCUAGAAUGCUCCUGACAGCCCCAGAGAUGGGGUCUCUUGGGUAAAACCAAGCAGGAUGCAAGGUGCUGCAUGGCUGUCGUCAGCUCGUGUCGUGAGAUGUUGGGUUAAGUCCCGCAACGAGCGCAACCCUUGUCCUGUGUUGCUAAUCCGCAAGGAUGCACUCUCAGGAGACCGCCAGGGAUAACCUGGAGGAAGGUGGGGAAUGAACGUCAAGUCAUCAUGGCCUUUAUGUCCAGGGCUACACACGUGCUACAAUGGACGGUACAAACCCGCCCGCAAACCCCGCGAGGGGGAAGCAAAUCGGAAAAAAACCGUUUCUCAGUUCGGUAUUGCAGGCUGCAAACUCCGCCCUGCAUGAAAGCUGGAAUCCGCUAGUAAUGGCAUAUCAGAGACGAUGCCCGUGAAUACGUUCCCCGGGCUCUUUGUACACACC
This 487-nucleotide ribosomal RNA is filed under the name uncultured bacterium. RNAcentral describes it as "bacterial SSU rRNA". It matches the Rfam family "Bacterial small subunit ribosomal RNA", at positions 926 to 1391 of the family's 1533-position model. The record is from RNAcentral.